GACCAACGCUGGCGGCGUGCCUAAUACAUGCAAGUCGAGCGGACGGAUGGGAGCUUGCUCCCAGACCGUCAGCGGCGGACGGGUGAGUAACACGUGGGCAACCUGCCUGUAAGACUGGGAUAACUCCGGGAAACCGGGGCUAAUACCGGAUAACUCUUUCCCUCACAUGAGGGAAAGCUGAAAGAUGGCAUCUCGCUAUCACUUACAGAUGGGCCCGCGGCGCAUUAGCUAGUUGGUGAGGUAACGGCACACCAAGGCGACGAUGCGUAGCCGACCUGAGAGGGUGAUCGGCCACACUGGGACUGAGACACGGCCCAGACUCCUACGGGAGGCAGCAGUAGGGAAUCUUCCGCAAUGGACGAAAGUCUGACGGAGCAACGCCGCGUGAGUGAUGAAGGUUUUCGGAUCGUAAAACUCUGUUGUCAGGGAAGAACAAGUACCGGAGUAACUGCCGGUACCUUGACGGUACCUGACCAGAAAGCCACGGCUAACUACGUG
Molecule: ribosomal RNA, 498 nt
Filed under: uncultured bacterium
Lineage: Bacteria
Description: partial 16S ribosomal RNA
Rfam family: Bacterial small subunit ribosomal RNA
Source: RNAcentral